This 497-nucleotide ribosomal RNA is filed under the name uncultured bacterium. RNAcentral describes it as "partial 16S ribosomal RNA". It matches the Rfam family "Bacterial small subunit ribosomal RNA", at positions 28 to 507 of the family's 1533-position model. The record is from RNAcentral.
GAUGAACGCUGGCGGCGUGCCUAAUACAUGCAAGUCGAGCGAACAGAUAAGGAGCUUGCUCCUUUGACGUUAGCGGCGGACGGGUGAGUAACACGUGGGUAACCUACCUAUAAGACUGGAAUAACUCCGGGAAACCGGGGCUAAUGCAGGAUAACAUGUUGAACCGCAUGGUUCUACAGUGAAAGGCGGCUUUGCUGUCACUUAUAGAUGGACCCGCGCCGUAUUAGCUAGUUGGUGAGGUAACGGCUCACCAAGGCAACGAUACGUAGCCGACCUGAGAGGGUGAUCGGCCACACUGGAACUGAGACACGGUCCAGACCCCUACGGGAGGCAGCAGUAGGGAAUCUUCCGCAAUGGGCGAAAGCCUGACGGAGCAACGCCGCGUGAGUGAUGAAGGUCUUCGGAUCGUAAAACUCUGUUAUUAGGGAAGAACAAAUGCGUAAGUAACUGUGCGCGUCUUGACGGUACCUAAUCAGAAAGCCACGGCUAACUACGUG